This 926-nucleotide long non-coding RNA is filed under the name Citrus sinensis (sweet orange). RNAcentral describes it as "long non-coding RNA (CSIN_LNC004085)". The record is from RNAcentral. Lineage: Eukaryota; Viridiplantae; Streptophyta; Magnoliopsida; Sapindales; Rutaceae.
UUAUAUUACAAUCCCUUAAGAUGAAAAAGAAUGCUUUAGCAAUAAUAAUUAGAUUACAUUAGAAAAGAUCCAUAAUAAUUCAGUGUAAGUACUGAGCUUGAACUUACCCAAAAUCAAUAAUGCAAAUUAACGCGAAUUUGACUCAACUAUUAACAUAGAUAAACUAAUCAAUCUUACUAGCACGCCACAAACCAAUUCCUAAUUAAGGCUUCGGCUUUAGCAAUGUCAACUUCAUGAUCAGAGAAAUUUCUACAACCAUCUCCAAACCUUCAUGAUUCCACACAACAGCACCAUAUCCCGCUACGCCACAAUUUACAUCAACUACUGCAUCUAUGUUUAAUUUCACCUACAUCACAACAAAUCAAAGAGUGCAUCAGAGUCUCACUUGACAAACCAUCGAAGCAAUAGGAAGCAUUCCGACAACACUUUCUUUCUAACUAAAUUCACUCCAAUGGGGAGAAUAAAAUGAAGAGCUCAUCAGAGAAAAAUCUUAACCUUAGGAGGCACCUUUAAACACCAAAUCAGAUUCCAACACUACCCCAGUAGAUGAUCCAGCACACAAGGAAUCCCGACUUUACAAUAUACAGCCCACACUUAUUGGUCCUGUAAACGUGACGUAUGCCAGCAGUUCCCAUUCUGAAUCAGAUUAUCUAUUGUUGUCUCUCAUGGCAAAGAAACCGAAGAGGUAGGCCUGAAAAUACUCAUCCUCAACAGCCAAUUACUAUCAUAAACACUAAUAUUUCUUCUAUUCCUCACUCGCCAACGAAUACCUUACUAUAAAAGCUCACGCCCAAGAGAAUACUCCACUGUAGGCAUGAAGGAUUUGAACCUAAUUGAGCAUGUAGGAAAGAGCUUCGUCGAAAAUACCGUACUUGUAAUACCCUCGAGACCAACAACUCAUCAUACAACAGCAACCUCCACUGUUG